Molecule: long non-coding RNA, 14339 nt
Organism: Synchiropus splendidus (mandarinfish)
Lineage: Eukaryota; Metazoa; Chordata; Actinopteri; Syngnathiformes; Callionymidae
Exons: 5
Source: RefSeq, a predicted model, not a curated record
UUUGGCAGAUGUCACUUUGCAUUGCGACGUGGUGUGACGAAUAUUUGCAGAUUCUUGUUUCCCAAUGUUUCAUCCCUGUCAUCACCUAGACUGCAGAUCUCCACUGGCAGACUCAGCAACAAGCCUGGUGCCCGUAUGACGUUCGCAGCUGCUCAGCAGUCAGCCAGCUUUUGGAUUCACGAGUCUGCUCUCCAGACUUGAAGUCAUUUCACACUGCUGGAAAUAACUCUGCAGAUGGUGUGAGGGUGAUAAACGUCUCCAUAAUUAGACAGCCCAAUGACACUGAUGAGUAUUUGCUUUCCAUGAAAAUACAGCAAAUUCAAGUCGAUGAAACGUGAAGAAAAUUUGCUGUCCCACUGCUUCUUUUGGGAAGUUCAACAGUCACCUUCCCGCAGACCCAUAAACAGACAGUUUUCCCUCAACCCUCAGGAAUGAAUGAAUGGCUGUCGCAUGAAUCACAGAGUCCUGCGGCGUUCAUUUCCCUUUGAAAGCUUAAUUUGGCACAACAAAUUAUGUCAUUUCAGUGAUACCACAUACCUCUGACUUGGUUAGCAUUACAGAAAUACCAACAAAAAUCACAAAGUGGGCAUAUUAUUUCUGGAAGAUUGAGUUACACUUGUAUAAGGACCUGGUGUUAUUCAUGUAAAAUGAGCUCUGGCCCACAGUCAGCCUGUAAUGUACUUUUAUACUGUAUAUUGUUCAUGAUCACCCCAUCCAUUCAUUCAUUGUACGAGCCCCAUAAUGCACUGCAACAGCUUGUCAUUACUAAUAGAGAAACACAUAUUUCCUCUUCUGCAUCAACCAUGGAUUGGCUGUAUGUUCAACUUCAGCUGGAGUAAGUGGAGAAAUUUGUCCCUUUCCAUUAAGUUCAGACAACACCAGGUUCAACAGGAAAAAGUGACCAUCCAAGAGGAAAGUCAAGCAGUGGAUGGAAAAUGCCCUAAAGCAACUGUCUGAUUGACAGUUGCAGGCCUGGAAACUGGAGGGAAAACCAGAAUCAUUCCAACAAUAAUUCACAUGUAGGUGAAUGGACAGUUUACGUUUUUGCAUCAUCAGAAUCAAAACACUUUUUCUUACAUUCCUGUAACAUGUCUUAUUUGCCACCCAGCCUCCAGAAUUCUUCCUUUCAUAACAUGUUAUUUAGAUCUGAUGUUCUAUUAUGACUAUUAAAAUGUAAGUGCCAGUUAAAGCCAAUAAAAAGUCAAGAAACUUUUCUGUCCGCAUCAGCGCUCAUGAGGAGGAGCUUACGUGUUAUAUGUUGCCACUGUGGUGUUUGAACGUUCCAUUCCUUCUGAGUUAAAGUUUCAAAUCUCAAAGAGAUUGUAGUUUCUCAUUUGGCUGUGAAGUCUCUAUUCAUCAGCUGGUUUCCUAGCAACUAUCACCUUAUAGUUUAGAUACUGAAAUACAAACUGUAUUAUCUCUCAGCAUUCCAGUCAGAAAACAGACCCUCACACUGGAACGCAAAAUAACCUGCUGCUGAACAGACCAAGGUCAAGCUUCCCCCCCAAGGGUCAAUAAACUUUGAAAUAAAAGCUGACUCUGAGUAGAAUACAAUGUGCAUAUUACGAAACAACCUACUGACUGUAAAAAAAAAAAAAAAAAUUACACAAUAAGGACCUUGAAUCACAUGAUGAUAUAUUAUUUUUUACCCCUGGAAAACUUUGCCCAAAAGACCUAUGAAAGCUGUGGGGUGCCAGCCAAACCUGGGCCACGUCAUUGUUUUCUGUGGACUGAGGCAGCUUGAAGUAGAUAUACAUCUCUCCCAUAGCACUCCAGUGUCAUGGCAAGCAUCAAAGUGCAGGGAAAGCAGCAUUGAAGGGCAAUUUUAUUGAGAUUACAUUUAUUAUUUUUUAUAUUUUGUUUUAUUUUAUUUUGGUGACAUAAAAUAAAUGCUGCUUUCUUUCAUCAUAUUGCUGGUUAAAGACAAUAGAUGUAACCUCUGUUUGGCCACUUUGUUUAGCUGGGUUGAGACAUGAUAUAAAUCAAUUUGCAGUUGAAAAGAUUCUUCAUGGGAAACCUGACAAUCACUUUAUUUCCUCUGCUAGUCAGCUCUCUUGUUGAAACCCAUUUAACAUCGGCAUAACAAGCCCAGCAACAUGUUGGCUUCGCGGCAGAUCACCUUUGAACUCUUCCCCGCUGAAUGAAUCACAGAAGCUGCACUACCGACACAAACAACUGAGUCAUAUUGAAAACUUGUGGAAAUCCUGUUGAGCGUUUGUUCUGGAGGAAGCGAGUAAGAGAUCACAAAUGGUAUUCUAUUACCAGGUGUGAUGUGUUCACUGCAUGACUUGACCAAAAGAGCUGCAGUGUCAGAUGGACUGACAGAUGGCUGGGGUCACCAGAGCAUCUGCCAAAAUUCUACUAUUUCAAGCAAGCAUCUCUUCUGCUGCUGAUUGUUACUCGUGGUCUCACAGAUAUGAAAUGUCCUUGUUAAUGGUCUGCGUUUCAUAUGUGGUCACAGUGGUCAGCAGAAUUCACUCCUGGACACUGAGUUAUCUUCAGAAAAACUACAAUCCCCUCUGUGGGGCUCACUGCAGAAGUGAGGAGAAGAAAGGGAAGUGGAAGAUACACGUUUGACCCACAUCUCUUGCUUCAUGGUGUCGUUUGAGGAGCGACCUGCGUUUAUUCACCAUCCAGUUCCUCCCAUACUGUGAUACUACAUACCCUACUGUACAGCAAGUGAAUAUGAAACAAAUAUUAAUAAUUUAUUUUGAGGCUAUGAGGUGUAGAAACAGCGUUUGUACGUGUGUUGCCGUGUGCUGUUAUGAAAAGCCUGCCCUGAAUUAGCUAAAGUGCCGGAUCUUAGUUUUCUGAAAACCCUUGGCGUAAUUCCUGGUGAACAUUUCAAAGACUUUGACUGUGAUCCUUCUGUAGUCAGAGGGUUUUAAGCAUUUGUGGAUGCUGCGCUCCUGUCUCCUCUUGGAUAUGCUGAGGAACAGCACGUGUUGCAGCUCGUCUGAUCUUGGUGAUGACUGAGCGGCUUUCAUCCGAGUCUCUGCGUCGUGCGUGCGAUUAAGAGAUCACCGCAGCUGUGGCAGAACUCUGGCGUGAAGGAGCUGAGACGAAUUAUCUGAUGGACUGCUUUUUUGGGGGAUUGGAAAUGAAGCCACAAGAAGAGGGUCUUGCUUGUUAAAUGUGAGUGACAAGGAUGUUUUUGUUACUGCCCAGUGAUUCGUGACUAGUCAGCUGUAGUGAGCUAAAAGAAGCAUCAAACUUACCUGGAGAAAUGUCUCCAUCGCUCUGCUCUCCGGAGUCUGAAUCCAUCUUCCUCUGCAGGACACACAGAGGCUGCAGAAGUUCUUCUUGUUCCCUUUCCUCUCCAGGGAGUCUUCAGAUUCCUUACCCAGGAAACAAAACCCACUAUCUCCUUCUCGCCCCCUCCCAGCCUGGAUCACUGCCGCUGCUGGAGGAAUGCUUCUUUUUUGCUCGACUUGACUCUCUCCUCUCCUUUAUUGACUCCGUCAGUUCUCCUAUUUCCUUCCCUCUGUAGUCCACUUUCCAGGUUUCUGAUGCUCCCACCCCUUUCUUCCUCUCGGUCCGCCUUCCCUCAUUUUCUUCCUUGUUUCUGACUCUUCGAUCCUCCUCCUCCUCCUCCUCCUCUGGUUUGGUGCUGUCACACUCAGCCGUUUCAGGCUCUCUCCUCACCAACUCUUUCUGUAUGCUGUGAGAGCAGUUUCUCCCUCUCUCUUCAUUUAACUCUUCCUCUGAGUGCUGCCUGUGUUUUCAGGUCCAAUUGGAGGCUCAUUCUUGGCAACUUGAAACUGAUCUGAAGCACUGGAAGUAUCUCGUGACCACUUGUUGCUGCAGUAAAACACAGUCAUGAUGGUCACAUGACAGGUGCCAGAGGCCUUUAUGUGACAAUAGACUUCAGGGAGUAGUGUUGAAAUAGUUGUGAUGAGGGGGCAGUUGAUGGUCAAACCGCACUUGGAGGCAAGUCCCUGAGGUGUUUAGUCUGACUGUUGGCUGCUCAGCAGGACCACUUGUCACCAGAUGGCCUCGCCUGCACACCGCCAGAGGACCAAUUAACAUCAAUGUUGAGUGAAUUUGGGUAUAAUAAAUAUAAUAUUAUAAUAAUAGUAUAAUAUUUAAAUUUGUCCUAACUUUUACAUUAUUAUCCAGAGCUUCACGUUCGAUAAAGAAACAGCGCCCCGUGCCACGCUACAUCUAUCUACAUUUCAUCCUCUGACUUCCAGUGAAACACCUUAAAAAUGUUUUAAUAUUAUUUACCGUAAUUUACCCUAAAUUAACUAUUGAGCGCAGUGGAAUAUUAGCCGCACCAAAUAAAUUUAAGAAGGAAAAUAGCUCUUGUUCAUACAUAAGCCGCACUGGCAUAUAAGCCGCAGGUUCUGUGGUGCUGUCUGCGCUGUGGACAAGUCAGUGGUGCACCGUCUUAAAAACUAGUUUUGAAAAUGGGUCCAUCAUCGAGAGUGAGGAAAUAGCGGAAACAAGCUGCGUAACACGGAGCGUCUUGAUUUAUCCACGCUGCUCUCACAAUAAACAAGGUGCAGGUCUCCAGCUGCGAUCAAGUCCGUGGCCAAAACCCGACUCAAUUGUGUUCACAUCGGACUUCUGAGCCGAAAGCACUUUGUCUCGAGACAGCGUCUCACAUCUUUUAUUCACAUUAAAGCCCACUGUUUUCGCCCGCGUGCCCUAAGUUCCAACACCACUGCCGGUCUCAGCGGCUUCUUCCUGAUUCCAGACCUCCAGGAGAUCGACUCUGUUGACGGAGCUGUGGACACGCAGGCGAAAACAGCGCAUUUUGAGUGCUUUAAGGGUAAAUGAAAAGCCUCUGAUUUCAAGGAUUUCAUCGACUGUGGGGUUGUAUAAGCCGCAGGGCUCAGACCGCGAGAAAACAGUAGCGGCUUAUAGUCUGGAAAUUACGGUAAAUGUUUGCCGGUGCAUUAACUCAAAGUUAUUGAAAUUGUUUUGCUAAUGUACCUCAGUAUGUACUCACAAAUCAGAAGGCAUUAGAUUAGUGCUCUUAUGUAAGUCACAUUUGUUGCAGCCUGAAAUCAAAACUAGAUGGAGGAAAUGAGAGGUAUAUGUGGUCCAUGUUUUGACGGAGGAGCAGUUGUAGCCUCUGCUAUCAUCAUCAUCAUCAUCACCAUCGACAGCGCCCACUCAUUACAGAAGUCAUCUGCGCCAUGCUGCGACAGCUGUCAACACUUCUGUUCGUGGCGUGCUCCUGCAGUUCCUAUGUACGGUCUAUAUCAGGGAUCCAGUUUGAAAGCAACAGCUCCUUCAAAACCCUCCCACGCUGCUGACCGGUGAAUUACACAAUGAAAACACGUCAAGUCCAAAGAGUCGGUCAGUGAACUGCAGUGAGCUGCCCGCGCCGAAGAUGGAGAUGAGCCCAAAAGGUCAAAGGAGUCUGACAACAAAGCCUGAGGCUGGAUGGAAAAUAUUACACCCUGUGUGUGUUUUGAUGUUAAAUAUUUACAGAGGGAUCACAGACAAUGGUUUAUUGCCGUUGAAUGUUUGCACAACGCAGGGAUUUGGUCCAGUGUGCAUAAAAAUGAAUUCAAUAGCGAACUGUAAACGAAAGAUCCAUCUGAGGAAUGGAGUGGAAUGGAAAGGAGUCUGAGGAAACAUAAACUGGAGAAAAAAGCUGACAUUUUCAGCAGAUGACGAGUCCUCCGAACAUAAACACCAGAGCAGCAUCAGCUGAAGACUCUUAGCUCAUCUUAACAGUGAAAUAGCUGCAAUAGCUCAAGUGGAGAACAUAUUUCUGUCAGCUGUGUCUGCAAGCCGCAAUACUUUUAAAAAAUAUCCGAGAAUGAAGCUUAGCAUCCUCGCUCUCACUGUGAGGACUAAGCUAGUCGUACGCCAUAUCAGGUGCUUUGAAUGUCUGCGUAACUGAACUCGCACAUAUGUUGAUGUACGGCAUGCCGCAGUGUUUUCAUUGUUUCUGAACCAAUUCCAGCUUACAGCUAUUGUUUGCCAUUGCCUGCGUUUAGGCUCACCGUUUCCCCUGCCUGUUUGUUGUUGGGGAUUGAACCAAAAAAGUCAAUGUACAAUUUGGACGGCAACAUUCAUCUUACAAUUGGAUUGGAGACAAAGAUUAAGCUCAGAUUUAAGACCAUUUCAUUUGAGUCUUUCAAAGUAACGCAAGUUUAUUUGGACCCGAAAUGCAUGAAGACUAGAAACCAGGACGGUUGUUUGACGUAUUCACCUUCGCCUCCCUCAAACACGUGGCCCGCAUCACAAGUCCACAGGAACAGAGUCUGAACUUCUGUGAAAUUUGCAGAAUGGAAGUGUUUCAAAAAGACAAUUGACGAUUCUUAAGUUAAAUCAACUGUGUAUGGGAACCACUGCUGGAGCUACCGUCUCGAUCGCAGCAUUAACGUCAUGAAAUCAGUAAAACAUGUGUUAUGGAAACGCCACAAAGUGACCAAGCUGCCACGUUUCCUCAGCCUUCGCGCCGCGCUCUAGCAAACGUUUUAGAAACUCAAAACUUUCUGCACAGCAUAGUAAUAGUAAUCGAUUCGUCGUUGUUGCUCUAAAUUGUGUUUCUCACAGACAGGUUGCGUCAUCACUGUCUUGCUGUUCCGAUGAGAGCUUGCUGACAUUGUCACGUGACGGACGUGUGCAUCGGCUGCUGUGUGUUUAAAGCAGUGAACUUGCAUGUUGUGUUUAGUUCAGUCAGUGGCCACUGGAGGGAGACAUUCCUGAAGGUACUUGUUGCGACAGAACUUUCAAGAAUAUCCGUCAGUAACGGUGUUAGGAAUUGACUAAACGAUGUCCUCAGUUCUGCUCCUAAACGAGUAAAUCUUUCCUCUUCACCUCACCUUUUGACGUCAUGGUAACAUUUGUUGAGGAUGUUGUGUUUUGAUGGUUUUGCCCUCAUCAUGAUUUAAAGAAAAAAAUAUACAGUUUGAUAUAUUUUAGGGAUUUGUGCUUUGCAAAAACGUCAUGGACAGCCUAUUUUUUUUUUUUUUUUACAUUUUAUUGUGUUUGUUCGGAGGCACUCCCACUGCUCACUUAUCAUUAGGUACAGCAACAAUUGAAGUGUGGUAGGUUUUUGUUCUAUACUCAAUGUGGUUGGUUACAGACGACUUGAUAAGUAAUGAUCCUCUUUGGCAAAUCUCAUUUUUAGUUUUGUGGUUCGGUGACUGGUUAGUCUCCUCUGGUCUGCACUCAUCCGACUCGCUCUCGUUGAUCCUCAGAGAUAUGGGCAGUUAUCCUGGGUCACUGCUUCAAAUCUUGUAGUCGGAUCACAUCACAGAGUCGUGACGUGGCUCACUGCAACUGGUACAGUGCUGCAGUUGUGCUGUAGGAUGUGCUUUGUCGUUCUUUAUCCUCCGCCUGGAUUUAAAGAGGUGACAUGUGAUCUCCUCAAAAUACCUCAUUAAAAUGUUCCAUCUGUAAGUUUAACUAUCAGUGAAGGUGAAGGUCUUAUUAUACGAGCAGCCGCUGCCCAUGUGUCUGUUCUUGUGCUUCUAUCUUUGUGAGAACCUGAGUUUUUAAUGAACGUGAGGACAUUUUUACCGGUGCUCACUUUGUCAAGCUUCAGUUUGAGGGUUAAAACUACAAAAUACCUUGGUUAUUUUAAUUGGGUUUUAGUUUGGUUGAGAGUUAAUGUUAAGUUUAGCCAUUUGUUGUAGAUGGUUAGGUUUAGGGGGAGAUGCUGGGGAUGGGGUUAUGUCAGUGACAGGCCUCACUAAGAUAGGAAGACAAACAUGUGUGUGUGCGUGUGUGUGUGAGAUCAUAAGACAAAGUAAAAGAACAGCGCAGUUGAACUCGGUGAACUGAGAGUUUGCCUUUGUUCCGUCUCCUCCCAGAACCACCCGGCCUUCUUUAGAUGUACCAGCCUUCAGGGCAGGACUCUUCUGCCUCUCUGUUCUGAACAUCAAGAUAAUGGAUCUCACAUUUCAACUCGGACCUACAGCCAAUGAUCCAAUGAACAAGUGCACCCAGAAUGUUUCGUACAUUAGGAAAUACAAACCAAAUGACAGAAUGUUUUAUGUUUUUGAUCGCAUGUAGUCAUCGCUGCUGACUCUGUCUCCAUAGCAACAAAGGGUCUCUGCUAAUGAGGCCUUAAUCCAGCUGAGCUCCUAACAGACAGGAAGCCGACGGCAGCGGCUCAUGUUGUAUUUUUUUUACACGUCUAAUUAGUGCAUGAAUGUUGUCAAUCAUCUUAGCAACAUGACACAGAUGGGGAACAAGAGUCCCACAGCUGCAAGGUUUCACGUCAGUUAUUUUCAGAACACUGUGAUGGUCUGUCCAUUUCAAUUUGAUUGACAAAAGAGGUAUCAAGAGUUCUGCAUAUAUCUUGGAUUAAAGACUUCAACAAAUCCUUUCAUCCUAGUCUAAGAGCUGAGGAACACGUUUCUUUCUUCAAAGUUCCAAACGUCCUCUAAGGUGAUGUAAUGUUACGCUGUUGAUGUGUUCUUUCUAUGAACAUAAUAGUCUCAUGUUUUUUCAUGUAUCCGCGUCUUUUGUCACAAUGAAUUUGUAUUGUUAGUCGUGUAGACGCGUCAGUGAGAAGGUACAGACUGGAGUGAUCUUAUCUGUGUGGAGACACAAGGAUCUAUUCAGGAAUCUUGCCCACGGUCACCCACCUCAUACGCAAGACCAGCGAGGUUUACUUGUUGAUAACAGCAUUGAAGGAGAACAAGAGUCUACACAGUGUGGUUUCAACAUGUCUGACGGCCGCCAGACUCCAGCGCCAUCACCUCUGAAGUGUGAGCGAAGCUAGUGUCUGUUCUGUGUUUCGGACCACGUCUGAUCGCACCCUGACACACACACACACAUGUUUGUAUGUCUGUCCUUGUGGGGACCGCUCAUUGCCAUGACCCUUUCCCCAGCCUCUCACCCUAAACCUAACCAUCCCAAACAAAUGGCUAACGUUCAAUGGAAUUAUAAUCUCCCCGAUAUUUUGACGUUUAAUCCUCAAAUUGAGGCUUGUUUCCAAGAUUUGGUCCUCACAAGAAUAGCUAUUAAAGUUUGUACGAAGUCCAAUAUUGACAAUAUCCCUUGAGUAGUCGAGUGACUCCCUCUAUUGACCUGUACGUGUUACUACAGCUGUGCUGCUUAAAAUGCUGGAUGGAUCACGGAGUUUAGAUCUGUUUCGUGUUGGAUGGAAAAGAAGACACUGGGAACAGAACCUGUUAUUGUGCAUGUACAUGUUACAGAUGUUUCACAGUGAUAUGACAACAGAAAUGCAAACUUCAUAUAAAUACAAUUACAGUCGGGAACAUUGGCGAGGCUUUCGAGAUCAACUAAGGAGCAGAAUGACAUGUUUAAAUAAAUGUCGGCUGGUUAAAUAUUAAAGCGCAAAGCUGGGGGUCACCACCACAGUUCAGAGUGUUUUACAGGCCCCCCUCUUCCUGGGCAGGAACGUCAUUGCCAGAUGUUGCGGCUCCUGCUGGUGCUCGUCCGGCUGCUGUGACAGGUUGUUGGUCUGUGGUAGAGUGUCCAGGGUCAGACCCGGGUGGGGACAAAUGGAGUACUGGGAGAGGAGCGUCGCCAGGAUGGUUUUCAUCAUCGUCAUGGCAACGUGUUUGCCAACGCAAGAGCGAGGGCCUGAUCCAAACGGCUGGAAGUACCGCCGCGGCGCCUGGAGGAUGAGAGCGCUUGGGUAAGAUUGAGAGAUGAAGAGGAGAAUGAAGAGAAGUCUUACGUUCUUCUGGAAGUUUUCGAGCCUGAACUCAUUUGGAUUGUUGAAGAAUUCUGUCCGAUGCAUGCGAGCAGUGUUGAGGAUGAUGUUGGUGCCUUUUGGGACUUUGUAGCCGUCGAUGAUGUCAUCAGACAGGGCCCGGCGCAUGGUGAAGUCGACCACAGGGUGAAAGCGCAAGCACUCGUUGAUAAAGCUCUCCAGAACCUGCAGCUUGGGCAGGUCUCCAUUCUGAAGUUUCCCGUCAACUACAGCGAGAAGAUGAGCAGCUGCAGCUCCACCUCCGGGUGCUGCUUGAGGAGCAGCAGCAUGAAGAAGAGGGAGACCGACAGAGUGUCUGGUGCCGCGAUCACCAUCUCUAGCACGCACUGUGUCACGUCGUCGGCUGAGAGCUCCCCGUGGUUCUGAGGGAAGAGGUGAACUCACCAUUGAUGGCGACACCCAGGAAGAGUCUGUUGGAGAUGUCCACCACCGUGCAGCGCAGCAGCCCCAGCACAUCCACCUGAGCCGCCUCCUGAGUGAAGUCCUCCAGGUGGUCCAGGUGAGUCUGUGUGGCCGUGCUGCAGACGUCUACCGUCCGCUGCAGACCAGGUCCGGUCAGAGCUGAUGCACACAGAGCGCACAGGUGUCAGCCGGAGCUACAGCGGGCCGGGUGCGUGGUGCGGCUCACCUCUGCUGAAGUAGGCGCGGAUCUUCUUCCACAGGGAGACGUUGUUGUUGAAGAUGAUGCCGCGCUCGUGCAUGCCCAGGCAGCGGAGACCUGGCUGGCUGCCAAAACGUGAGGUGUAGUUUUGCUGCUUGAGUACGUGAUGCACCGCUGAUGCGCUAGUGAGGGACAGUAACAUGGUGAAAUGAUGAAGUCACUUCAGACCGUAAGUGAUUUCAAACUCACCUGCUGAUUAUUAGAGUCUCUUCUCCGUCGAUCCAGACUCGCACUACAUCUCCGUACCUGUUGUUAUAGUAGUUGCUGGCAGUGCCAAUCCCAGUCCAAAUGAAGCGCAGGUACGACAGGAGUGGCCCCAGACCCAGCAGGUGUGGAGGGCCUGUUCAAACACAGCAUGUUCAGUAAAAACAGCUCCGCUGCGACAGAGGAAGUAAACAGCACCUACCUGGAACUGCUUGCUUCUCGCCAUGAUUCCGAAGCAUCAAGAUGAGGAACAGCAGGGAGAGCAGAAGCCAUGAGGCCCUGAAAACGCAAGGUGAUCCCCCGGCCGUUGAAUUGUGGGACACGGAGACCAGAUCCAGCACCAGGGAGUCCAAACCCACAGGAGUCAUCUCCCACUCACAACCUGACGCCACAUCCAUUUAGAAAGCAGAUUCCAGCUCACCAAGCAGGACCGGACUCCUUCAAGUGAUGGCCAGCCUUCGGGGGGGACGCGGCUCUUUAUGCAGUCCUGGCUUGGGACCGGUUGGGUCAGGGCGAGGCACAGAGCCACAACAUGAGAGCCAACUGUCAAUAACACACCAAUGACCUUGAGGGUUGUUCCCGUGCCAGAGUCCUUGGGUUUACAGUGCCGUAUUUGACAGAUGGUGAGGAGAAGAAGACGUUUGGCUUUGAACAUCAAAGUUUGGACGGUGGACUCGUGAAGAUCGGAUAUUGAUAUUAUGACAAGGAUUAUCUCGCAUUUACAUUCUUGCGUUUUCACAGGAAAAUGAAUUGGUGCUCACAGACCACUGUGAUCAUUUCCUCACACCAUUUGACUGAAACACCAAUCCACACGUGAGCAGUUUAUCAAGUGAACCCCAUGAUUCCCAGCUGCUUAUUCCAUAUCUGACACGCGUCUGGAGGACUGUCGCACCGAACCUUGUUAUUACUCAGCAACAUUUCUAUUUGGUCUAAUGAUCUUUUCAUCUUUUGCCCAGUUCUCUGUGAUUUAUCAGCACGUCUGAGCAGGAGCACGCUCUGUGCCGCAUCAUUUAUCAUUUUGUGCUCUUAUUAUCAAUAUCCUUAAUUUCCAGCGCGGCCCACUCCUUCACAGAAGGUUGAAGGUCUUCGCUUUCAUCUGAUAUUGACGAGUGAAUGUCUCGUGUCAGACGUUCGUGUGGACCACGAGGCUUCUACUGCACUUGGGAUCAGCCUUUUCUGUGGCUCACCGCUGUUUAUGGUUGCAACGUCUCUCCUCAUCAUAAAAAUCCUUUUCAUCAAGUUGUAUGUUUUUUUUUUUUCAGAAGUUGAAGGUAAUCGGUUGGACAAAUGGAAGAUAAUGUUCCUAUAUAUAAUGCUACAUUUACCAUUGGCAUUAUAGAAAUUUAGCCUUUUUUUAAUAAAUAACUUUCUUGGAAUUCAAGAUGCCAAAUUUUCUAAAACACAUUUAUAUAGAUACUGUAUAUAAAAUCUUCAACUACUCAAGCAGAAAUGUGAACAUAAUUUAAAGGCAUUUUAUUGCAAGGUAUUUUUUUCCACUGUAGUUCGUUUUUAUUUUGAGGAGGAAGAAAUACUAUUAAUAUAAAAUGAUGUAAUUUUGUUAGCAUGUCUAAUAACUAUGAGAGAAGAAAAACAGACACGUUACGACACAUUUGUUGGAGUAGAGGUCUGAUAUAGGUAGAGAGUUUGAGUGCACUGAUGUUCUCCACCCUGGCGUCAGAAGUGGGAUGAUAACAUGGGAGCCAUAUUGUGGGGGUCCUGAGAUUGUGAAGAUGAUGCCUCGGGUUUAUCCUCACAAUCUGCGGGGCAAAGGUUCAAAGCUCAGAGUGAACACGUGUUCUUUAUUCUUGUCAUGUGCCUCGUGUACUUAUCGACAGUGAUCAACUGAUCUGAAAAAUAAAGUUUCUCUUUUUUGAUUCGCAUCCAGGGAUUAACGUUCUUUUGUGACUGUGACUUUGCUCAGAAACAUGGUUCAGUGAGUUCAUCGUUGGAAGUGUUUCCUAACAGUGAAAAAACAAAACUACCCAGCACCAGUUGGCUCUCGUCUUUUCCUUUCAUUUUGAAUGUGUUUGUGAAACGCCGCAGCUGUUUACAGGGAAGGAGUGUUUGCUGAAGUGGCUCAGUGUCAGAGAGCGCGCCUCCGCCUCCACGCCAAAGAAUGCGAGCUGCUGAAACGCUGGUCUGUGUGGCGGAGGAGCCGCUGUCAUGGAUGAUGUCUGAGAGGGAGAUUGUUCCGCAUGAUUAAGCCGUGACCCGGGCCCUUCAACAAUGUUCCUGCUGAGCUCAGAGGUUAAUGUAACCUUGUCUCUGAGCUCACUGUUGUGGUCAGCCGCAUCUCUGUCUGUGGUCAUGAAACAGGCCAUUAGCAUCAUGACCAUGAUGACGAGGUGAAGAAGGAAAAAGAUGUUUGUGAUGAAUUGCUUCAGUUUCUUCAGUUCAGCUCUGACUGUGACUGAGCUGCGUCACAUUCCGCCAGUGAACAGAUUUGUAUCGUGUAAUGUAGGUUUUUGCAAUUGCAACUCUGCUACUUCACGUUUUGAAAGAGUUAUGUGAAGAAAUGUCAAGUCAUAUCCCUUUUGUCUUAUGAUCAGACAAAAGUGUUUGUCUUCAUUAAAUCACUAAAUGUUAUUUGUCUGAUAUUUUCAGUGGUUUGAAGACGCUGAGCGUAUCGUGUCAGCGACUGCGGCGAGAGACGGAAUGCUGAACAAGAACAAUGAAAAACACUUGAUAUUCAUGAAUAAAUGUGUUUUUCAAUUAAAAAUGUCUUGUUGAAGAAAUGGCAUUUUUCAAAUGUAAACACAUAACAUGAUCUGUGGAUAAAAAUGUACAAAAAUAUUUUUGGAGGAAAUGAAUGGCUAGAUUUUUUAAGGGAUAAUAAUAAAGAGAGAGACAAAAGACACUUAUUCCAAUGCAAAAAAAGGCCAUGUCUCUAAAAUGUGUUUUUCAUUUUUAUGGCAUGAAAAAGUGUGGAACCUCUGUGCGACACAUAAAAUUCUCUUUCAUUUUCGGUUCCUCCUCUUCGUAACCAAAAGUUUAUCACAGUAAAGCGUCUCCCAGUUCUGUUUCCAGUUCAUGAAUGAGACGGUUUUACAGGUUGUUUGUGGUUUCGGUUGGUCUUCAGCGACUCUCUCUAGGACUGAGAGUUGAGCCGAGGACAGCAGCAGAGUAAAGGAAGUGCUCCUCAGGGUGGAAGUAGGUUCACAUCUGCCGCAGCCUUUUCAGUUCCCCCACAAAUGGCCAUGACCCACAGCUCCAGGCAGCACAGCUCUUGCACUUGUGUCGCUCGAUAAAACUGCAUUUCUCCUGUUCGAUGUUGGCUGCAGAAGAAAGAGGGACGUGCAGGGGUCAAUGUACCAUCACAGAGAGGCAUCAUGGGAGUGGGACAGAACAGAAAGAUCCUGAAUGAAGUGAAGACGAUGACUUGUGGAGGAGAGACGAUUCACCGUUGCACCUCUCUCUGAUCAUCACCAACAUGUGCUGCCUCAAGGCUCUCGGUCAUUACUGAAAAUGAAGCCUCAUUUGUUCAAGCGACGCAGAAACAGGUCAUUGUUGUUAUCACUGGUGGAAGAAUGUGAUUAGCUUCAGUGCCUGAGGUGGAGUUCUGGUGAAAUAGGAGCCGCGAUAACUGCAGCGCUUCAGCCGGGACAUGGACUGCAGUGAGGAUUUCACUGGUCAGUGCUGCAGAGACACACAGACUGUUGCUGGAGUAGAGCAGGAGUCCUGCUGACCUACAGUGGUGGAGAAAGGUGUUCGGACGCCCCUCGCACUGUGCUUUUUUUUUUUUUUAAUCUGAUGGUUUAUUUAUUUUUGGUUCAGUUUUGAACACAUCUUCUGUUAUUUGUUGACCUUUAUACUGAC